This 200-nucleotide ribosomal RNA is filed under the name uncultured bacterium. RNAcentral describes it as "partial 16S ribosomal RNA". It matches the Rfam family "Bacterial small subunit ribosomal RNA", at positions 28 to 236 of the family's 1533-position model. The record is from RNAcentral.
GAUUAACGCUGGCGGCGUGCCUAACACAUGCAAGUCGAACGAGGGUAGCAAUACCUAGUGGCAGACGGGUGAGUAACGCGUGGUCAACCUACCGUUGAGUGGGGGAUAACUAGCCGAAAGGUUAGCUAAUACCGCAUACGUCUCCGAGUGGCAUCACUUGGCGAAUAAAAGGAGCAAUCCGCUCGAUGACGGGACCGCGU